Small nuclear RNA from Cairina moschata (Muscovy duck), 153 nucleotides. Its record names the gene U1. It matches the Rfam family "U1 spliceosomal RNA". Rfam says of the family: U1 is a small nuclear RNA (snRNA) component of the spliceosome (involved in pre-mRNA splicing). Its 5' end forms complementary base pairs with the 5' splice junction, thus defining the 5' donor site of an intron. The record is from Ensembl. Lineage: Eukaryota; Metazoa; Chordata; Aves; Anseriformes; Anatidae.
CUAUUUACCUGACAGUAGACAGAGAUCAAUAACACGGUCCUCCUGGUGUAAGGUGUAUUCUUUGCAUUGCCAGCAUGCUGACUUGUGAUUUCCCUGAAUGUGGAGAAGUUGACUGCAUAAUUUGUAGUGAAAGACUGUAUUUACACCUUUAAA